Molecule: long non-coding RNA, 230 nt
Filed under: Elaeis guineensis (African oil palm)
Lineage: Eukaryota; Viridiplantae; Streptophyta; Magnoliopsida; Arecales; Arecaceae
Description: long non-coding RNA (EGUI_LNC066155)
Source: RNAcentral
AAGGAGCUCGGAUGUUGCCGACGGGCCGUCUACCGUUGGGUGCCUCGAGCGUUAGUACUAUUGGCGAGGGCCAUUUGCUGUAGGAGCGCAGUCAGGGGCUUUCUGUAGACGAAGUCCAGCUCCCGUAGGAGUCCGGACGGAGUCUACCUGCAGUUGAAGUCGGGGAUGAAGUACGGCUCCUGUAAGAGUCCGGACGUAGUCUACCUGCAGUUGGAGUCGGGGCGAGGUCC